RNAcentral lists this transfer RNA (67 nucleotides) under Anentome sp. YY-2021. Its description in RNAcentral is "tRNA-Pro". It matches the Rfam family "tRNA". From Rfam's summary of the family: Transfer RNA (tRNA) molecules are approximately 80 nucleotides in length. Their secondary structure includes four short double-helical elements and three loops (D, anti-codon, and T loops). Further hydrogen bonds mediate the characteristic L-shaped molecular structure. tRNAs have two regions of fundamental functional importance: the anti-codon, which is responsible for specific mRNA codon recognition, and the 3' end, to which the tRNAs corresponding amino acid is attached (by aminoacyl-tRNA synthetases). tRNAs cope with the degeneracy of the genetic code in two manners: having more than one tRNA (with a specific anti-codon) for a particular amino acid; and 'wobble' base-pairing, i.e. permitting non-standard base-pairing at the 3rd anti-codon position. The record is from RNAcentral. Lineage: Eukaryota; Metazoa; Mollusca; Gastropoda; Neogastropoda; Nassariidae.
CAGAAUUGUAGUUUAACAAAAAUAUUAGCAUUGGAAGCUAAAGAUUUGGUUUAACCCAACAUUUUGA